Molecule: unclassified non-coding RNA, 243 nt
Filed under: uncultured fungus
Lineage: Eukaryota; Fungi
Description: sequence contains ITS2
Rfam family: 5.8S ribosomal RNA (bases 1-52)
Source: RNAcentral
AACGCACAUUGCGCCCUCUGGUAUUCCGGGGGGCAUGCCUGUUCGAGCGUCAUUACAACCCUCAAGCUAUGCUUGGUAUUAAGUCUCACCUGCAAGGGCGGGCUAUAAAAUCAGUGGCGGUGCCAUUCGGCUUCAAGCGUAGUAAUUUUCUCGCUUCAGAGGUCUGGUUGUGUACCUGCCAACAACCCCAAUAUUUUAUCAAAGGUUGACCUCGGAUCAGGUAGGGAUACCCGCUGAACUUAA